AAGAACUGUGUUAUUAAGGAAAAUUGAGGUUUUCUAUUUAAUUUCAACACACUUUUGAGCAAAUGCAAACUUCAAUAAAUAAUAUAUAUUAAAAUGACACAGUGAUCUUGCAAGGUAAGUUACUAGAACUGUUUUGACAACCACUUAGAUCCUCAGUUCAAACUCUUACAAAUUUUAAAAGCUUUCAUAUAAAUAACUGAAUCUAUGUUAAACACUUAGAGUUACCACAAAAGGACAUCACCUGACAAGCUUUGAGGAUAUAAUCUGAUCCCAUCUGGUGGACACCAACUAAAGCAAUCUGUCAAGUUCACCCUUUAAAUGGCACUGUUGAAUAAUUUGACUACCAGUGAAGAGGAUGUGUAAGUGCAAAGUGACGUUACUUUUUCAUCCACAUUUACAAGAAGACUGGAAGCAUUUCGAGGCAGAACACAUGCUGUGCUUUCAUUUUGCCUCGGAGAAGAUGUGCUCACCAUAGAAACCAUCUUGGAAACAAAGAAGUGAAACAUAACACGUUGUAACCUGAUGUGUCCACACAUGCACUGAAACUCCUCCCCCCCAUUAAUUGGUUUGUUACAUCAGGGAACUACAUAACCCGUGAACACAACUGUACAUGCCAUAUUCAGUGCAAACUUUUUAGCCAUCAGCUGUUUGCUUAUAUAACAGGGCUGUCAUGAUAUCACAGUUUCACUUCGUGUCUGUCGUGUUGGAUAAUGACACCACUCAGGAAGAAGACUACUGGUAAGACUGUUUUCCUCUCUGUGUUAGCCUUGUGACAGACUGGUGACGGGGUUUAUCCCAUUUUGUUAUCCUCAAUUCAUGGUUAUUAUGAUACCCCAGAGGAAAUGAGCUUCAUUUCCAUUAGAGCUCUUAUUGUGCCUACUUGAUGCAUUUACUGAUGAGAAGGUCUGUAUCAAAUACACACAACUAUUAGGUUAUUCUUUUGAUGCUUGUGUUUGGGUUUUAGGUGUUUUUACAUGCUCCAUUUGUUGCUGUUCUUUUAACUCUCUCAAGCCUAACCUGUCGCUGGCAUCAGACAGGUGUUUUGCAAUGCUCUUUUCAAUAUCUGCAACUCCCGUAACUCCUGAACCAUUUGCUUGAUUGAAAGAAUUGCAAUGGUUCCCGAAAGCAGCGACUCUGCGCUUUUCAGUGAUAUUAGGGUUAUUACGGUAAUCCCAGGCACAGUGUCUUAGCAGCCCUGUGAAGAUGAAGGUUGGUUGAGAGAAGAGAGAGCGAAUGAGUGUGAUGAAGCAUUACAAAAAAUUUGAUCUAAAAAACCUCCCAAAACAACAAAAAACAAAAAGGAAAAAAGCCCUCACUUGCUCUUCCUGCUGUGAGAGAGGCUAAUACAAUACUGCUGUUUAUGCAUCAUUAGUAUAUUAUCUAAGAGAGAGCUGCAAGAGCAGCACUUCCUUCCUGCGUUAUGUAGAAAUGUAUGAUUGUUGCUUACUGGAGCUUUUAGAAAACAAAAGCAACACUUAGUUUGAGAAAGACAACAGACAGUAAACAACCAUAACAUUUAUUCUAGUUGUUGCAAUCAAAUGCGAACUGAGAAUACGCCCUCAAAUGUUGUAACGGUAUGCACAGGUUGAUAAGAAACCUUCCUUUCUCAAGGACUUUCCCACAGGCAAGGCAUCACCAAGCAGGAAAUUUUGGGUCACCUCUUUAACCUUUAAACAUCUGCCUUCCUUAUGCAUCCAUCAAGUCUCCUGCUGUACUGACAGGGCAUACGACAGAGGGAGCCUUAGCACAUGGAUGAAAAAUCCCCUCCUCGCUGCUUUGGGGCCAGCUAUGUGGUUUGGACUUAACAUGGGGAUGCUCUGUCUCAGGAGACGGCUUUCUAUGGCCUCACCAAGAAAGCAGCAGUAUGAAAGAUGUGAAAGUCCCAACAAAGCUGCACAGAUGUAAGGACUGAAGGAUGCACAUGUGUGUUGCAGUGACACGAAGUCCCGCUGAUAUUUUCAUCUUGUACCACUUAUUGACAGCUGCAGCAGCAAUAUGUCUGGAUAUGCACCAACCAAAGGAAGAGGGACUGCAAGCAAUCAAACGUGGCAGUGAAGAAAUGUAGCUUUCAAAUUCUUUAUAAAACUGUUUUUGCUGUUUUGAGGAAGAAGAUACACUUAACCUGUUUAUUAAACCACAAGAACAUGCAUAAAGUGGAUUGAUGAGAAACAGGGGUGUUAAAUAAAUAAAUUCUAUUAGUACUAUGGAAUAUAGCCAGUCCCAAUCCAAGGUGACCAGGGCACCAUUAUACCAGAGGCAAAAAAGUUUCUUUAAAAUUUAAAUGCAAUCCAAGCUGAAUGAAAAAUAUGCUAUAAAUGAAGCACAAAUCAUGAAGGGGGAAGAGGGAUGGGGGGAUUGGAGACUUUUCCAACAGCCAUUGGGCAAGAAUUAUGAAAAUGAGGAGGUGAAAUGUACAUUAAUUUAAUGCUGGUUAAUUAAAACAGUCAAUCUUACCUGAUCCUUUCUCCUUUCUUAGAAAAAACGCCACAGCCAGGAUAA
This is a long non-coding RNA of Oreochromis niloticus (Nile tilapia), 2499 nucleotides long. RefSeq lists it as uncharacterized. Lineage: Eukaryota; Metazoa; Chordata; Actinopteri; Cichliformes; Cichlidae. The transcript is spliced from 3 exons. The record is from RefSeq and is a predicted model, not a curated record.